CCCUGUUCCCUCCUCUUAUGCCUCCCCCUUUUCUAUUUCUCCCUCCUCAGCUUUAUCCCUUUUCCUCCUUUCCAGCUCUUCAACAAGAAAAAGUCUUUAAGGAACCAAUUCUGAGCAAUUCUCGUUUCUGCAGUCCCGCGGUCUGGAAGAUAAAGAGUAGAGGAAGCCAAUUCAUCCAUCCCCAUCUCUGUCCCUAACCCCUCUCCUUAUAUUUACCCUUAUCCUAGGUCCUAUCUGCGGCCCCGCCUGCCCCCUUUAGGACUUAUACAGUGGAAAUCGCUGCCCUCUAGUGUCGGCACCUGGGAGCCCGGGAGAGCGCCCACCGCUCAAGAGUUUUUUGGGGGAGGAGGAGAUUCCCCCUUUUUCAGCCUCAAAACUGGAGGAGAUUGAGUAACCCUGAAGCUCAGAUCUCCGGUUUCUUCCACUCUCUUCUGGGACCGUCUUUUUUCCUCCACCCCUUUUUCCCUUUCUAACUAUUUGGAUCAGUAUCAGGUUGAGCUCUGAAUUGCCACUACCUGCGAGAGGAGAAAAGGGGACGAAAGAGAACAGCUGGAGCGAGUCUUCGGGAGGCCCCCCACUAUCCUUGCUGCAGCUGGCUAAGCGCUCACCAUGCAGCCAGGAACUAACUGAAGACACGGUGGGAUUCGGAGCCCGCUGGUCCUUCAGGUCUUUUUUGGCUUAAAGAAAAGGUUGCCUACAGUGAACAGGUCAACUGUAAAGUCUCAAAAUCUUCACUUUCCUUUGUGCUUUUAAAAGUACAGCCUCUGAACAAGCGUGUUGUGUUCUUCCCAGGAAGCACUGUUUUUUAAAACAUCAACUAGUUCUA
This is a long non-coding RNA of Antechinus flavipes (yellow-footed antechinus), 826 nucleotides long. RefSeq lists it as uncharacterized. Lineage: Eukaryota; Metazoa; Chordata; Mammalia; Dasyuromorphia; Dasyuridae. The transcript is spliced from 3 exons. The record is from RefSeq and is a predicted model, not a curated record.